AGAUGUCGUUAAGUCGCUACGAGCGCAACCUCGUCGUAUGUUAUUAUGUGUCAUACGAGACUGCCGGUAAAAAGCCGGAGGAAGGUGAGGAUGAUGUCAAGUCAGCAUGACCUUUAUAUCCAGGGCUACACACACGCUACAAUGGUCUGUACAAUGGGUAGCCAAGCCGCGAGGCGGAGCCAAUCCUGAAAGCAGGCCUCAGUUCAGAUUGCAGUCUGCAACUCGACUGCAUGAAGCCGGAGUUGCUAGUAACCGCAGGUCAGCAAUACUGCGGUGAAUACGUUCCCGGGUCUU
Molecule: ribosomal RNA, 294 nt
Filed under: uncultured Anaerolineaceae bacterium
Lineage: Bacteria; Bacillati; Chloroflexota; Anaerolineae; Anaerolineales; Anaerolineaceae
Description: partial 16S ribosomal RNA
Rfam family: Bacterial small subunit ribosomal RNA
Source: RNAcentral